RNAcentral lists this long non-coding RNA (598 nucleotides) under Pogona vitticeps (central bearded dragon). RNAcentral's name for it is "lncRNA (ENSPVIG00000009233.1)". Lineage: Eukaryota; Metazoa; Chordata; Lepidosauria; Squamata; Agamidae. The record is from RNAcentral.
AGACCAUCUGUUCAGAUGGACGAGCUUCUGAAUGCAGCCCUUACAGGGACAGAAGCAGGGCAGUCAGCGGCUGGAUCAGCCAGCCUGCAGAGCGGUACUUUCCCCCAGUGGAAUCCUUCAGGAAAGCGAAGGUUAUGGGACAAGAACUGGCUUGUCAUUCAAGAUCUUUACAAGAGGUACUCCAUAUGGACUAGUUGGCCGAAAGAACCCUACAUGGAUACCAUGUAAUUUUUAUUGCACUCGUAUAUUGUCUUCUGGAAGACCAUAUAACAUGCUGCGCUAUUAGGGUGAAUCCUACAGGACUUAGCCACCUUGUAAUUCCACCGUGUCAAUGCACAGCGAAAGGUCAGUAUCUCCAUUGUGUUCCAUGAAACCAAAGUUCUGCGGUUAGCAGCCAUUCUUUAAACUCAGGACACGUCCCACAAAUAAGUCCUUGUUGGAAUUAAGUGUUCACUGAAUGCCAGUAUUGAUUCAUGUUUCUUUUUAAAGCUCACUUGAGCUGACUUUACCCACAACAUUUGGGAAUUUGUCUGAAGGCACAUGUCUGGUGUAAGAUUUAAGAGGGGCACAUUUCUCUGUGGUGACUUAUUGCUGGUAU